UACUAUUAUUACUAUUAUUAUUAUAUUAUUAUUAGUGGGUUGUAAAUCUUAAAAUUAGGAGAAAUGUAUAAUGUAGCUUUUUGGCGUCUUAAAAUCAGUAUAAUUGUUUGUAAACUUAAGAUGCAAAAAUCUUUGAAUCAUCGUUGUGGUAUUUUUAUAUGUUAUAAUUUUUGUAUUAGUGAAAUUUCAUGUUCUAAUACAUACUUCACUUGUACUGUCUUUAGAAUAUGUAUGGAAACUCCCUGGAUUGCCACCUCGCAUGGCUAUACAGUGAGGAAUAAAGGAUUAUAUAUUGGAGGAUUGGAUCUGCCCUGGAUCAGUAGGGAAACGGAUACAUGGAUGUGCACGAAAUAAGGAUGGAUACAAACACUUACACCAAGGAUUAACAGAACAGAACUAAUUGUAAAGAGGAACAUUUACACACUUGCCACAUUCGGAAGUGUUAGUCGCUUUGAUAAACAUAAUAAGGGGAUCACUACCUGGAAUAUAUAUGGGCAGUUAUGGAUGGAUUACAACAGCUUUCAUUCCUACUUUGCAAAUAGGAAGAGUCAGGGAAAAGGAAAGGGAAUACACACAUUCCAAUAAGGAAAGGAAAUAGGACUUGAAAUAAUUGACUUUAUUCAAAUGGGAUUUGCACAAAGGAGGAUUCACAGGAGAUACUCUGGAUCGAGGGAUUGGGAGAAAGCAUGGAUGCGCCGUGGGACAGAGGUCAAACAUUGUGAGGAUCAAGUUGAGGAUCUUUGAAGUUACAUUUCCAAGGCUUCAAACUUUGUCAGUUAGGAGAUUCCUCGUAAUGUAGGAUGAUGGCGAGAAGAUAAUUUUGGAUUACUGGAUUUAAAAAAGUAGCCAUAGUUUUAGCAUCAAUUUAGAAAAUCUAUGAUAUUUUAACUUAUCUGAAUCACAAUCAUUUUCCAUUUAAUUUUGAAAUUUAAUUAUUUAUUUAAAAUUUUAUACUUUAGAAUAAUUUUUCUCUUAAGUGUGAAAUUUUAUGAAAGUUUCUUGAAUGAAUUAUGCAAUAAUAAAUUUGUUAUUUGGCUACCUGUGAUGAUACAAAAUUUGGUAAGUAAAUAAGGUAAGCUUGACUGAAAUUUUAGGUUUUUCUCAUGCUUUGAAGAUAUUCAUUUUUUACUCCCUGUUAUAGUUCUUUAAUUCAUUUUCUGCACAAUGAUCAUAUUUUUACAUAGUGCACACACAAAUUAAUAUAUUUUUUCUAUUAUAUAUACAUACUAUAAAUGACAGUUAACAACUAUCUAUCUAUAUAUAUUUGUGUGUCUGCAGGAAUACUUUAGGCAUUUCUGGGUAUGAUAGGAGUUUGGGGUUUUGCAUGGAAGUGGGGAUUGUCCCAGAUUUUCUAUGGAAAUUAUGAAAUUAACGAGGCACCUCAGAG
RNAcentral lists this long non-coding RNA (1387 nucleotides) under Androctonus crassicauda. Lineage: Eukaryota; Metazoa; Arthropoda; Arachnida; Scorpiones; Buthidae. The record is from RNAcentral.